AAAAACUAAUUCAGAGGACCUUUAGUCAUUACUUAAAUAUAUACAUUGUUGUGAAAUAAAAAAUCAAGUUCUGAGAUACUGUUAGACUUUUUAAUUGUAAUUGUUAUUUUAUUGAGCUGGGAUGACACACAAAUUAUGCCUAUUGAUGAAAUAUACUAUCAUGACUUGUCAGAGUUUAACAUUUUCAGUUAAUCAAAAAACAAUUUAAUUUUAAGUUCUGUUAAUGUAAAAAACAAUUUGAUGACGUGUUAACGGGCCACAGUUUCCGCGCGCAUGUUCAAGGCCAGACGAGGAGAGGAGCAUGUGGUGAAUGCAUUACAAGGCUUGCUUUAAGAUUGGACCAAGAGUGGACCAAGGGGUUCAAGUUGAGACUUGGUCAGCCUCUCAGGACAAACUAGACAUCACCUUCUCCUUCCCCUGAGGUGUGGCUUUCUGCCUUGAUCCAGUACCCUGGUGUUGUGGAUCAAGGAUUUCAAGUUGAGACGUGAUCAGCCUCCUAAAGAAAAUUGUGAAGAAGUACGGGGUGAGACAGAAACAUUAACACUUAACUUUUGUAAUUCAGAUCCACAGCAAAUAAAUCAGUUGUGUUCACACACACACCUCCUUGAAUUAUUUUACUUAAUUUAUCUCCCUACUUAGGUCUUCAUUCACUUUGCCGUGUGCCUUGCAAGGACAAAAAACUUGCCUUCAUCUUCUCCUGGUUUCGUGGACCAAGGGGUUCAAGUUUAGACGUGGUCAGUGUGAAGAAGCAUGGAGUGAGAAACAUGAAAUAUGCAGUGGCCUUGUAAAAUCUGUAAAUAUGCGACCCCUACUAAAGACGAGUUGUUGAAACAUUAUAGGUUACGUCAUAUCCGCGGUGGGCAA
Carassius auratus (goldfish) is the source of this 864-nucleotide long non-coding RNA. RefSeq lists it as uncharacterized. The transcript is spliced from 3 exons. The record is from RefSeq and is a predicted model, not a curated record. NCBI's taxonomy places the organism in Eukaryota, Metazoa, Chordata, Actinopteri, Cypriniformes, Cyprinidae.